Sapajus apella (tufted capuchin) is the source of this 403-nucleotide long non-coding RNA. RefSeq lists it as uncharacterized. The record is from RefSeq and is a predicted model, not a curated record. NCBI's taxonomy places the organism in Eukaryota, Metazoa, Chordata, Mammalia, Primates, Cebidae. The transcript is spliced from 2 exons.
CACUCGGCUCGCGGGAGGGACCGGCUGGCGGCAGGCAGGGCGCGCGGAGCCCGGGGCUCGGCCGAGACGGAGCGAAAGAGAAACGCAGCUCGUAACUGGCCCUUUAAGAAAACAUUCCGUGCUGGGCGCUCCCGCCCGGGGCCCGCACCCCGGACACUUUAAAAGGACCCAGGUGGCCCCGGAGGCGAGGUGACUAUCCCCCCACCCUGCCCCUGCCUCGCGUCGCGUCGCGCUGCAGCUCCCGCCCCAGCCGGGGCCGAAGACGGGGUGGCGGCUGCGGUUUUCCACGCGACUUCCUCGGAUCUCGGGGCACGCGCGCCGAGAGUUCGGACGCGGGUCCGGGCGGGUUUUGCUGCGUUUUACUGCAUUUUAUGACUAAUUAAAAAGCUUGGCGUUCCCCGUC